AAGACCCGAGGCCACGCCCAGCGCCCCCACCGUGGGGCGGGGUAGUGGAUCUUGAGAAUCCCCCCACGCCCCCGUUGGCUAUUCCAGUGACGGACGGGGUCAUCAGCCAACCGCAGCCCGGGCACGACGCAUGCGUCCACAGAAGCUUUAGCCCUAGAUGGGGAAAAAAAGCCGCGGGCGCACCGCUGUGGCUGCGUCUGGCCAGGGCCUGGGGCAGCGGGUGCGCAUGCGUGAGCCCGACACCACCCUCUCGCUGCGAGACGCGAGCGUACGCAACGUGGCCGGCCGGGGUCUCCGGGGGCGCGCCCCGCAGGGAGAGACCUCGGCCCCACGCGUGCGCGCGGGCCGCGAUCUCGCGCGAGGCCGCCGGUGGACGACGCCCCGCUGGCCCCGCGCGCCCGGCCGUCGGCGGGGGCCCCCUCCUGGCAGCCGAGGGCCCCCCCCCCCCCCCCGAUCUCUGGAGACCGCAACCCCUGACCGCGCACACCGUGACCCCCAAUCCAGGAGGCCGCGACCCCCACCCGCGCAGGCCAAGACCCUCAAUCCUGGAGGCCGAGACCCCGGCCCUUGAGAGGACUGCCCGCCCCGUGGGGCGUUGCUGCACUGGACAGACCAACAGAGAAGCCCCGGAACACGGCAGACAUUCGGAACCGUGUUCCUAAACUGCACAAUACGCACAAUGAAGCAGUAUAGUGUCUAGGUGUGUGUGGUAAAACUUUAAAAAGGCAGAGGAAUGAUAAACACAAAGUUCGUCAGUAGUUAUGUUGGAGAGGGGUUGGGGGUGGGAUGCGGAAAACCAGGCGGGUGCUAGUGGUAACGUUCUAGUUAUCGGGCUAAAUGGUACAUGGAAGGGUAUUUCCUUAUGGUCUAUACAUAACGCAUAGGACCGUUACUCAUUUGUAUAGAAUAUGAUUUAGAAAUAAGUGGAAUCACCUCGCCUCCCGAAACAAAACAAAAGACGCGGUUGGAGAAGGAGAAGGUCUUACCUGUAUUGCACUCGAUUUCCAGAGCAUUUCUGCACAUGUUCUGUCAGUUGAUUCUCACGCCAGCCCUUCAAGGUAUUGUCUCCAUGUGCAAGGUGAAGAAAGGAGACCAAAAAUUCAUGAGGCCGGUGGCACAAAGACAGGAAAGGUGAGCGUGCAGAAGGUCAGCGGGGAGCCCUGGGCAGUUAAAUCUCCAGGGUGCCGAGCACUGUGCCUGGAACAGAGAACGUGGUCGGCAAGCACUCGUUCAGCGGGUGAGUGACGGAACUUUCUGACCAUGUGGGUGUCCAGGAGUGACAGGAGCUGCCCCGAAGGCAGGUGCCCUGCUCAGCAGCUGGCUGACCACCGUGGGGACCAGGAGGACGAGAGAGGCCACUUGGGGGCAAACUUCGGAGAGAAACCCCCUCUGUGACUGUUUAUGUGAGUCUGUAUAUCAGAGGCUGAAGACAAGACCAUGUUACGAUAAUAAGGUUCUCGCCUGCAGCGGUCCCCAGAGAAGGGCCGGGGCAAAAGAGACAUGUUGAAGGGAAAGUUCAUAGGACUCGUUGCCGGAAUGGGUAUGAGCUCCAGUGUUCCGUUGUAAUACUGAGUUGCAGGUAAUCUCACAGAAGCCGCGGUUGGGCGGGUUCUCAAAGGGAAAGCGUGGGGAAGGUUGAGGACAGAGACAGCACCCGGUUGUCCCAAACCAGAGUGGCACAGAAUGACCAGGCUGGGAAGCAGGAGGAAUACGAAUGGCAGAGUGUCAAACUGAGACGCCCAGAGGAGCCAGGCGGAGGAUGUGGAUGUGGGACGUGGCCCCGCCGUGUGACGGAGGCCAUGCCCACCCAAGGAAGUCCGCGGUCUCUUCCAGUUUUUGAGAUGAAGCUGGACUCCCAGCGUUUUAUUUGAAAUCCCGUGGUUUUUAAGUACUGACAACCAAUUCAGAUUAUCUUAAAACUCCGCGCAGGUUAGAAACCAACAACAAACGAACAAAAAAGCCCUCCGCGCCUCUUGGCCUGCUGGUCUCUACCCUCGCUGGCAUGGUGCCCUCAAGCCGCGCAUGCCCCAGGACGAUGUUGCUGGAAGUUUCCCGUUUCUGUUCACGUCGGUUCUCCGGUAGUCCAACCCUUCCCGAUGCUCCCUGGACUUUGAUCAUUUAUCCCCUCCCUGCCUUGUGUUUUCAGCGUCCCCCUUUGUGUUUGUGUCUCCUUCAGUCUCGAAACCUGCCAGCGUCUUUCCACAUCCUGAAGACGCUGCUUCGUUCUCCUACGGUCCCUCCCAGGGCCUUUCUAGAAAGUUCUUUCUUUUUCCCUUCCACACAUUUCCUAGCAGAAUACACUGCAUUCUCCCUGUCUUCCUAUUGUAAGCCGGCUUUGCUGCUCAGCUCGCUGUAGUUUAAGGUCUGCCUCCGUGAUUCCACUGAAGGUUUUCCGACCAGGGCAGAGGUCUCUGUUGCUGAAUUCGUGAGACUGCUCCAACUAGGCUAAACUCACACUCAGAGACCCAAGUGGUGCCCUUUGCUUUAAUCUAUUACCUGAGAAAGGUCGCAUCGGUGUUUAUGGAACCAAACGGGAAAGUGUCCUCAAGAAAGAAGGACAGUCGGCACCAUGGGAUUUGCAGACAGAUCAAAGUCUGUGUCGGCCACACGAAGCCCACUGGGUUGUAAGAAAAGGAGAUUGCCACUAGCUUUUGAGAGGACAGUUUCGGCAGAGGCAGCUGGAAGGUACGCUGCUGUAGUCUGUGAAGAAAAGGGUGGUGACGUGAUGACAGACGGUGCCCAGAGGUGGCGCCUUGGACAAGUUUGGCACCACGGGAAGUGACAUCAAGCAGGAGGUAUUGGAGACACGCGUGCCCGUCAGAGUCCCUGAGGUUGAGGAAAUCCCGGCAUGUCUGCAGGUAAAGCGGGCAAGCCAGUGGCACGGGAGAUACUGGAAAUGCUGGGGAAGGACUACCUGAGAGCCGGCCGCCAGGGGCGUCGGGAAGAAUCGAGAAGUCAGCCAGUUGAAAGGACUGGUCCGCCUUGACGAAGAAGCGAGGAGUCUCUGAAGUAGGCAGAAUGGUUAAAGGCAUGAGUCAUCAUUCUGUCCGGACUCUCGUGGGGGCAGCGGUGACGCAGGAGAGCCCCGGUGUGCGUUUCGUCCGUGACACGGCAGCGACGUCCCGUCUCCAGUCAGAGGGAGGCAUAGCGGAUCCAGGAUUGUUGGCCGCCUUAGCGACAUCACUCUGCACUGGCUGUGUCCCUUCCGCUCCCUCUGCACUGAUUCCGGGGGGCUCUGGCCUUGGCUGCCCCCCUCUCCUCGUCAGGGAAGUGUCGUCCCCACACCUGAGGUUUAAGCAGCCACCUCAAUGCUAGUGACUCCCAAUCUGUGUCUGUGACAUAGAUUUCUCUCCUGUGACCUAGAUCUCUCUCCUGAGCCUCCCAUCUAUGUGCCCAGUAUCUUUAUGACUAGAACUGGUCAUUUCUCCUUAAUGCUUUAUUCUAAUUUUUUAUUUGAUUAAAAAAAAUUUUUUUUUGAUGUUUAUUUUUGAGACAGGAGCCACAGAACACGAGCAGGGGAGGGGCAGAGAGAGAGAGGGAGACACAGAAUCGGAAGCAGGAUCCAGGUUCUGAGCUGUCAGCACAGAGCUUGAGGCGGGGCUCAAACUCACAAGCCGUGAGAUCAUGACCUGAGCCGAAGUCGGCCGCUCAACCCACUGAGCCGCCCAGGCGCCCCAGUUCCAUAUCCUAGCUAAUGGUCGCAGUCAUUUUGCAGUUGUCAAGCCAGAUCCAGGUUUCACCUCCCUCCCCCCUCCCCCCGCAAGUGUGCAUGUGUAUAGUAGAUACUUAAAAGAACAGGAACAUAUUUAUAUUUCGUGUGUUGGGUUUUCUUUUUCACUUACUACCGUCAUGAUCACUUGCGCAUGUCAAUAAAUGCCUUUUUACAUUCUUA
This is a long non-coding RNA of Neofelis nebulosa (Clouded leopard), 3892 nucleotides long. RefSeq lists it as uncharacterized. NCBI's taxonomy places the organism in Eukaryota, Metazoa, Chordata, Mammalia, Carnivora, Felidae. The record is from RefSeq and is a predicted model, not a curated record. The transcript has 2 exons.